UACCAGCACCCCGAGUGGUCGGGACGAUUAUUGGGCCUAAAGCAUCCGUAGCCGGUUCUACAAGUCUUCCGUUAAAUCCACCUGCUCAACAGAUGGGCUGCGGAGGAUACUACAGAGCUAGGAGGCGGGAGAGGCAAGCGGUACUUAGUGGGUAGGGGUAAAAUCCGUUGAUCCAUUGAAGACCACCAGUGGCGAAGGCGGCUUUCUGGGCCUUACCUGACGCUGAGACGCGAAAGCGUGGGGAGCGAACCGG
This 253-nucleotide ribosomal RNA is filed under the name uncultured bacterium. RNAcentral's name for it is "partial 16S ribosomal RNA". It matches the Rfam family "Archaeal small subunit ribosomal RNA", at positions 474 to 727 of the family's 1478-position model. The record is from RNAcentral.